Canis lupus familiaris (dog) is the source of this 46-nucleotide non-coding RNA. The record is from Rfam. NCBI's taxonomy places the organism in Eukaryota, Metazoa, Chordata, Mammalia, Carnivora, Canidae.
CCAAAGGCUCUUUUCAGAGCCACCCACCGGUCUUCUCAAGAGAGCU